This 69-nucleotide transfer RNA is filed under the name Anguilla anguilla (European eel). RNAcentral's name for it is "tRNA-Pro". Lineage: Eukaryota; Metazoa; Chordata; Actinopteri; Anguilliformes; Anguillidae. The record is from RNAcentral.
GACGGUGGCGUAAAGGUAUUGUCCAAAGCUUGGAACGCUGAGCUUCAGGGUUCGAAUCCCCGUUCGUCC